Molecule: ribosomal RNA, 735 nt
Filed under: uncultured Atopobium sp.
Lineage: Bacteria; Bacillati; Actinomycetota; Coriobacteriia; Coriobacteriales; Atopobiaceae
Description: bacterial SSU rRNA
Rfam family: Bacterial small subunit ribosomal RNA
Source: RNAcentral
GAUGAACGCUGGCGGCGCGCCUAACACAUGCAAGUCGAACGAUUAAAGCACCUUCGGGUGUGUAUAAAGUGGCGAACGGCUGAGUAACACGUGGGCAACCUGCCCCUCUCAUUGGGAUAGCCACGGGAAACCGUGGAUAAUACCGAAUACUUCGAGUCUCCCGCAUGGAAGACUCGAGAAAGCUCCGGCGGAGAGGGAUGGGCCCGCGGCCUGUUAGCUUGUUGGUGGGGUAACGGCCUACCAAGGCAAUGAUGGGUAGCUGGGUUGAGAGACCGACCAGCCAGAUUGGGACCGAGACACGGCCCAGACUCCUACGGGAGGCAGCAGUGGGGAAUCUUGCACAAUGGGCGAAAGCCUGAUGCAGCGACGCCGCGUGCGGGAUGAAGGCCUUCGGGUUGUAAACCGCUUUCAGCAGGGACGAGGCGAAAGUGACGGUACCUGCAGAAGAAGCCCCGGCUAACUACGUGCCAGCAGCCGCGGUAAUACGUAGGGGGCAAGCGUUAUCCGGAUUCAUUGGGCGUAAAGCGCUCGUAGGCGGUCUGUUAGGUCGGGAGUUAAAUCCGGGGGCUCAACCCCCGUUCGCUCCCGAUACCGGCAGACUUGAGUUUGGUAGGGGAAGGUGGAAUUCCUAGUGUAGCGGUGGAAUGCGCAGAUAUUAGGAAGAACACCAGUGGCGAAGGCGGCCUUCUGGGCCAUAACUGGCGCUGAGGAGCGAAAGCUAGGGGAGCAAACAGG